Molecule: ribosomal RNA, 427 nt
Filed under: uncultured bacterium
Lineage: Bacteria
Description: partial 16S ribosomal RNA
Rfam family: Bacterial small subunit ribosomal RNA
Source: RNAcentral
UGGGGAAUAUUGCACAAUGGCCGAAACCCUGAGCCAGCCAUGCCGCGUGUGUGAAGAAGGUCUUCGGAUUGUAAAGCACUUUAAGUUGGGAGGAAGGGCAUUAACCUAAUACGUUAGUGUUUUGACGUUACCGACAGAAUAAGCACCGGCUAACUCUGUGCCAGCAGCCGCGGUAAUACAGAGGGUGCAAGCGUUAAUCGGAAUUACUGGGCGUAAAGCGCGCGUAGGUGGUUUGUUAAGUUGGAUGUGAAAUCCCCGGGCUCAACCUGGGAACUGCAUUCAAAACUGACUGACUAGAGUAUGGUAGAGGGUGGUGGAAUUUCCUGUGUAGCGGUGAAAUGCGUAGAUAUAGGAAGGAACACCAGUGGCGAAGGCGACCACCUGGACUAAUACUGACACUGAGGUGCGAAAGCGUGGGGAGCAAACA